GAAAGUAAAAGUCGUAACAAGGUUUCCGUAGGUGAACCUGCGGAAGGAUCAUUACUGAGUGAGGGCCCCUCGGGGUCCAACCUCCCACCCGUGUUUAACGAACCUUGUUGCUUCGGCGGGCCCGCCUCACGGCCGCCGGGGGGCAUCUGCCCCCGGGCCCGCGCCCGCCGAAGCCACCUGUGAACGCUGUCUGAAGUAUGCAGUCUGAGACAAUUAUUAAAUUAAUUAAAACUUUCAACAACGGAUCUCUUGGUUCCG
This 258-nucleotide unclassified non-coding RNA is filed under the name plant metagenome. RNAcentral describes it as "partial contains small subunit ribosomal RNA, internal transcribed spacer 1, and 5.8S ribosomal RNA". The stretch from base 1 to 54 matches the Rfam family "Eukaryotic small subunit ribosomal RNA", at positions 1778 to 1831 of the family's 1831-position model. The record is from RNAcentral.